AAAAUGAAUACAUUUUAUAAAACAUUGCUAAGUCCAAAAAGUCAGGGAAUAAUAAAAUCGUACAACCAAGCUUCCAAGUAAACGCGGGGUCACCAAUGUAGAGAUAUUAUUGGUGAAUGUGCUACAUCAUGACGUAAAAUGGGAAAUGGACAUUAUUGAAUGAAAUGUAAUGACAUAAUAAAAGCUUACGACAAUAGUAGAAAUGAAGCCGAAAGUCCAAUGAAGAUGAAGAGAGUUGAGAACGAAGGAAGGGGCUCACGCGAUGAAAUGUGCGGAGGCUUGAAGAGGCGGAAACGCGACUUCGUUGACGUGGUUGAAGAACCGUGAAGAACGCGAUGUCGUCGCCGAAGCUCGUGAUGAUGAUGAAUGUAGAUGGAGCUCUCGGGCGAGAAUAGAAGAGAAGAGAAGAGAUGUGUGGCGCUCGAUGACGAAAGCAGUGAGUCGCUUGAUGUCGGAGGCCAAAGUGGAAAAUGCAGACAUCAAAGCCGGUAGUGGUGCUGAGACGGUGAGUCGCUCGAUUGAUGAGCCGAACUUUGAUGGUGAAUGUUUAGAUGAGCUGCGGUGAGUCGAGCUCAUGUGAGUGAAAGACUACCGGUGAAGAAACUGGCAGCUCCCAGCGGAUAACCAAGCACCAUAUAUGUCGGAACUAGAUUUAACUGUUCCACUGGAAGACUGCAGCCCGAUGAACACGGCAGUGAAAGUGAAGAUGUGCCGAUAGAAGUGAUAGGCACAGUAGAAUCAAGCCCGGAGAAGAAAUCAUGCAGAAACGUGUUGACUCAACUGAGAUGUAAGCAGGAGUUGUUGACUCGACCGAGGUGUAAGCGGGAGUGAAGAAAACCUCGUGGUGAUGAAAAUACGCGGGUGAACGAUGCGCGGAACCA
Long non-coding RNA from Strongylocentrotus purpuratus (purple sea urchin), 881 nucleotides. RefSeq lists it as uncharacterized. The record is from RefSeq and is a predicted model, not a curated record. NCBI's taxonomy places the organism in Eukaryota, Metazoa, Echinodermata, Echinoidea, Camarodonta, Strongylocentrotidae. The transcript is spliced from 2 exons.